UACGUAGGGGGCGAGCGUUGUCCGGAUUUAUUGGGCGUAAAGAGCUCGUAGGCGGCUUGGCAAGUCGGGUGUGAAACCUCCAGGCUCAACCUGGAGACGCCACUCGAUACUGCCAUGGCUAGAGUCCGGUAGGGGACCACGGAAUUCCUGGUGUAGCGGUGAAAUGCGCAGAUAUCAGGAGGAACACCGGUGGCGAAGGCGGUGGUCUGGGCCGGCACUGACGCUGAGGUGCGAAAGCGUGGGGAGCAAACAGG
Molecule: ribosomal RNA, 254 nt
Filed under: uncultured bacterium
Lineage: Bacteria
Description: partial 16S ribosomal RNA
Rfam family: Bacterial small subunit ribosomal RNA
Source: RNAcentral